UACGUAGGGGGCAAGCGUUGUCCGGAAUCAUUGGGCGUAAAGAGCUCGUAGGCGGUUCAGUAAGUCGGGUGUGAAAGCUCCGAGCUCAACUCGGAGAGGCCACUCGAUACUGCUGUGACUAGAAUCCAGUAGGGGAGUGUGGAACUCCUGGUGUAGCGGUGAAAUGCGCAGAUAUCAGGAAGAACACCAGCGGCGAAGGCGGCACUCUGGGCUGGUAUUGACGCUGAGGAGCGAAAGUGUGGGUAGCAAACAGGAUUAGAAACCCUUGUAGUCC
This 274-nucleotide ribosomal RNA is filed under the name uncultured prokaryote. Its description in RNAcentral is "partial 16S ribosomal RNA". It matches the Rfam family "Bacterial small subunit ribosomal RNA", at positions 524 to 796 of the family's 1533-position model. The record is from RNAcentral.